Long non-coding RNA from Grus americana (Whooping crane), 578 nucleotides. RefSeq lists it as uncharacterized. The transcript is spliced from 3 exons. NCBI's taxonomy places the organism in Eukaryota, Metazoa, Chordata, Aves, Gruiformes, Gruidae. The record is from RefSeq and is a predicted model, not a curated record.
AAGGGGAGAGAAGGGGGAGGCGUGGGUGCCUUCCCUCAGGAGCCCGCUGGUCAGAGGACUGUGUCUUGGCAUCCGCAGUCACGUACAAAUCUGGAUUUGAUAUAGUCUCCGCAGACUCUGAACGUGCCAGGCAGGGAGGCUUGCCCUUCACAGUACGGGUGCGCUUUCAGCCGCGGUGAUCGGGCUGCGCCUAUUCUGAUCUGCUCGAAACAGCCUUUUCAGCGCUAACCGAAACCAGAAUGAGGGUGGGAAGGCUCAUUGCAAAGUUCACAUCUCCUCCGCUGCGUGCCGGUGCUAAUGGGAGUUUCUCCUGUGACGGAUUUGGAUUUGGCUUGCUUGAUGCUGGACAAUUAAUGAAGGAAGCCCUAACUGGACAAAUGUUGGUCUCCUGAGACAAUGUGUUGUUGAUAACAGAGAAAGAUUGACAAUAAGAUGUGGAUGUUCAUCUUUAAUGAACUCUAGCUACCAAAGUGGAAACCAGCUAACUUUGAUGGUGUGGCUGACCACCUUCUCAGUGAUAGCUGAGUAUUUACUCUUUCCUGAAAUGGUAAAGUAAUGCUAUAUCCAUAGAUAAGAUG